RNAcentral lists this long non-coding RNA (1485 nucleotides) under Vitis vinifera (wine grape). RNAcentral describes it as "long non-coding RNA (VVIN_LNC005739)". The record is from RNAcentral. Lineage: Eukaryota; Viridiplantae; Streptophyta; Magnoliopsida; Vitales; Vitaceae.
UCAUCCUUUGAUAGUAUGUUAAGAGAAAAGGCCUUUCUCACCUUCCUGUUCUGUCUCUGUCUUCCCUCCCUUCCUCAGUCUCUAGAAGUAGCAACAUGGUGAUGCAGACACAGCAAUCACCCACACUAUGAUGGUUCUUGAGCUUAUUGUAGUGUCUGCGCUCACCAUUUUUGCUAGACAAAAAGAGAGAGGGAGAGGAAGUAAAGAGAAAGAAAAGGAUGUCAUCAGCGUGUGAAGACAAGUCAUGGAGGGGGCUAUAUUACCUCUAGACAGCUCUAGUCAUUGAAACAAGAUUUGGAAUCAAGAAGCCAUCUGGGCCAUCUUGUAGUUUCCCAUGGAGUGUUCUAUUCAAUCUAAUUAUGUAUGCUUCAUUGCUCACUAUCAAGGUAAGCGAAUCUACUCUUCUGCCAUAGAAACAAAGAGUGUUGAUACAUGUCAUUCUUCUUGUCACUUGCCAACUUCCUAAAUGGAAUGUUGAUUUUUGUACUCCUUCGCAUUUUUCUGUCCCUGGAUCUUGGGUGUUAUCAGCCACCAAAAUAGCAUGGCAAUGCAUAUGGCAAACAUGAAAGAAUAAUCUGAGUGCUGAAGCCCACGAAGUGUUUUGAAGGCUGCUACCAAUUCUCAUGUGUCCCUGGUUGAUGGUUCUGGGUCUGUUUUUGGACCAAACCAUCAGAAGUUGAGUACUCGUAGGCGGGAUCAAGUUCUCCAUAUGAAAUAAGAAAGAUAUCUAGUUUGAGCUUCUUGUAUCGUCAACAUGCUCAGAAGAAAUAAAUCGGCUUCCAUAAAUCCACUAACACAUGCAGCAACAUCAUUAAAAAACCUUGUUGGUAAGAAGUCAUUUAUAAAGCCAAAAUGGAACCAAUGUUGGUAGGUUAAGAAAAUAAUGAGCAAUUAGGAGUUGAACCAUGAAGAAACGUCUGCUUAAAUGGAUGUCUUGUUGAGACACACUAAGUUCCUCUUGAGCGGAGCUCCAAACGCCAACCCCCCCCCCAAAUAAAAAAAAUGCAACAGCAUAUAUCGAUUGAAUAUAGAUAGCAGUAUAAAUCAUCUUUAUAAUCAUAAUAAUAAUGGUUAUUAAUAGCAUGUAAAAGGUGAUCUUACAAGAGAGAUCGCAGGCCAGUUCAUAACCCAACUGGCAAGUCAAUCAAAUACACAUAAUUUGGAAAGCCUAAAAAAUUUGGAGAAAAAAGAGGGAGAAAAACAAAAGAAAAGCUUUACAUGGGCGAGAUGUAGCAGUGCUCCACAGCCUAUACCCACCAUCCAAAUCUUCUCAGCUUUGAAAUUCCAAUUACCAAUUUUCCCCAUCAUAAAAACAGUUGGAUCUUUCCAAUCUUGAAAUAUUAAUAUAACAAUUUUGUAUCUUCUUAGAGGGAAUAAUUUUCUUCAAGGACCUCGAUACUUGCGGAAACAAAAACAGCCCUGAGGCUGAUCAACAGGAAGCAUACCUCCUCCUCUUGAUGUAUCAAUGGCUUCUAUCAUAGCAAC